This is a non-coding RNA of Arachis ipaensis, 168 nucleotides long. The record is from RefSeq and is a predicted model, not a curated record. Lineage: Eukaryota; Viridiplantae; Streptophyta; Magnoliopsida; Fabales; Fabaceae.
GUUACUGUGGUGGGAUAUCCACUUAGAGGAGACACAAUUUCAGUGACAAAGAGAGUUGCAUCUCGCAUUGAGGUCACAUCAUAUGCUCAUGGAUCGUCUGAUUUGUUGGGUAUUCAAAUUGAUGCUGCAAUAAAUUCUGGCAACAGCGGUGGCCCAGCAUUCAAUGAC